Long non-coding RNA from Gasterosteus aculeatus aculeatus (three-spined stickleback), 1309 nucleotides. Lineage: Eukaryota; Metazoa; Chordata; Actinopteri; Perciformes; Gasterosteidae. The record is from Ensembl.
GUGCUUCUGGAGGAAUUUAACAAGGUGUUGCAUGUUUUUAAUGAGGAAGGCCUUUUAGACUUCUUUCAUAAGCAUCAAUCAGUUUUCAAAAGCUAUGACAGUGCCAUCAUGUUGCAUAGCAGACGGCUGAAACAACCCACAGGUUAUCACCAAGAAAAGCUCUCAGCAACAACGACAGACCGGCGGGGCAGAAGAGUAGGAGUACCACCUGAGCCCAUGGAGAUAAGCAGCAUUGAAAAGGAGGUAAUCAAGAAGACUCCUCCCUCUCUUUUAUACUACCCACACAGGAUAGUGGACCUGCCUGGUCUUGGGAGUAGGCUGAAGGCCCCAAACAGGAAGAAUCUUUUAACCCCGACCUCUUUACUACGGACACUUUUUGUUUCAUGCGUCCACGUCCACUGGGUCGCUGAAGUGUAAGUGACCAAUUUGGGACGAUACAUUUUUUGAAUUUGGUGCAGCAUUGAGAUGGAAAGUGUUCCCUCUCAGUAGUGUUGGGGCACUCACCAUGUGUUGGAAAUAAGGUCUUUUUAUGAAGAUUAAACCAAGACCGUAACCACACCUGCGGGGGAUUUUUAGUCCCAAACUCGGCACCGAUUUGUCAUUGGAAGAGGGCCACAGACCCAACGGGGGAUGCUCGCGUUAAGGCCUCGACGUCACUGUGACUUUAAACAACAAGCCCACCUCCAGCGCCUUCAGUCUGACUCAAGUUGGUGGAGGCAGGUGAAGAAACAACGUUAGUUUUAUGGAAAACCAUGGUUGACAAUCUUUAACUCUGCUGAACAAUGGACCAGAUAAGCAAAUGGAGUUUUUCGUGGGGGGAGGUAUUUUUAGAUUCUCUUCCCACACAAGUCAACGCGGCAAAGCUUGGCGCAGCAGCGCCAAGUUUAAAAGGAAAGUUGAAGAAACGCGUCGACCGCCACUUCUCUGUUUAGGCUUUUGUCAGGGCAGAGAUUGGUCAGAUUCUGUUAAUAACUUUUUAAGUUUACCAUUACAAAGGCUUAUUGUGCAGGACCGCUAAACUACAUAAUUGCUCCAUAGAUAUUACUAUGGUGUACCAUGCUGCUGUUCUAGUGUUGUUUUGAUCGAUCACUCACCGUGAGGGAAAUUGGUUAGCGAGAUUGACAGUUAUGUUUAUAUAUGAUAGAAGUUUCCUCAUAAUUUUAGAUAGUGAGUUCAUGUGUACCGUGAUAAUCGGUAGACACGUAGCCUCUGCUCAAAUGCCAACCUUCAUUGUUCACUCGUAAUGUGGAAUAGUACUUUGACCGUUGACGUCAACGUCAAUGUGGUUAUUUAUUCCCAGGAUGGUGCC